Brassica rapa (field mustard) is the source of this 10775-nucleotide long non-coding RNA. RefSeq lists it as uncharacterized. The record is from RefSeq and is a predicted model, not a curated record. Lineage: Eukaryota; Viridiplantae; Streptophyta; Magnoliopsida; Brassicales; Brassicaceae.
UUAUUUCAAAUCAUGAAAACUCAAAAAACGUAAUAAAAAAGGUAAAAUGAAUAAAACAAACCCCUAUAUAAAUAAAGUAAUAAGAAACCUAAAAAAUAAAAUUAAAGAGUUAUAAAAUAUAUAACACUAAAGAUAUAAAUUGUAUAUUUAAAUUUAUAUAAUAAUAUCAAAAUUAAAUAUUUAUAAAAUAAAAAUAUAUCCGCAAGAUGUGCGGGUUAAACUCUAGUAAUGUGUUAUCGCUUUAGUCUAUCGUACAAUCAAUACAAAUCUAGAUAAAAUAAUACAGUGUGCUCGAACAUAACCGUCUUAUUUUGUUUUGUAAAAGAUUAUCACAAAUAUGUAGUAUGAAUCAUAAUAAAAUUUGAAUUAUGUUGUUGACAACAUAUUUUUAUCAUAAACAAAUACCAUAGUUAAUUAUCAAUUGUAAAACCAACACAUGAGACCAUUAUGAUUAAUAACUCUGUGUAAUGUGUAUAUAUAUAUAAUUAUAUAUUUUCAAGGGUCCAAAAUUAAAAAUACAAAUUAUUAUAGAAAUUAUGAAAAAUAAAUUAUUUAAUACACCAAAAUAUGUACGUAUACUAAAAACAAUUAAAAACUGUAUUGAGCAAUUAUUAUACUAACAAAGUCUUGCUAAAAGAUUACUGAAUCCUUUUUUUUUCUUGUGAGCGUCUGAUGAAAAUUUUAUUUGUGGUUAUCUUAAGUUCUUAGAAUUUCAAAAUAUUAUAUUGCAUUACAAAACCCAAUAAUUUUACUGAUAAUUUAAAUAGUUUAUAACUUUGUAUCAAAUCUUUUGUAUCAUUUUAUUUUCUAAAAAAAAAUGUUUGAUUUUCUUUUAACCAAUCCCAAAAGAAAACAAAUAUUUUUUGGUUAGUAAUUUUUUUUCAAAACUUCUGUGAUUAUUUUACACAAAUAUAUUCAUGAUAAAAAAUUUCAAAAAAUGCUAUUGAUAACUUCCAAAUAUAAAAAUGGACACACUUCGAGGAUAUAUUGUAAUCUAGUAAAAAAACUACCAACAAAGAGAACCAUCUUCUUAGGCAAUUGAUUAAAAUCUCGAAACAUGAUUGAAGAUAUGCAUAUUUAUCUCAUUAAUGAAAGUACUAAACCUCAAUCACAAAUUUCUAUCCGUUAACUCUAAACCCUAAGGUUUAGAUUAGUUAACCUAGGGUAUAAAUGUAUAUUUAUCUCUUUAAUGAAAGUACGAAACAUUUUGGUCAUUUUGAUUCUUAGAGUCUAUAUUUGUGACCAAAACGUUUUUAUUGCUAUCUUUGGGUAUUUCCCUUAUAAAAACUUUAGACAAUUUUUUUUUGAAACUCACCUAGCAUUAGAAUCUAAAUUUUAAAAUUUUCUAAUUUGUUUAUGUAUUCGAAUUUUUAUUAUUAUAGAAAAUUUAUUUAUUAUUGGUGUAUUUGUUAUUUUAGUUUUUAAUAUAAAUUUCCUAUAUUUUGAUUACAUAUCGAAUAAUAUAUAUAUAUAGAUGGCAUCUAAGAAUAUUUACUCAGAUUUUAUGAAAAUUUUAAAAUGGAAAAUGAAAUAAAUUUGUGGAAGAAAGAGUUUGACUUUCCGUCUAAAACUUAUAUUAUGUAAAAUAAAAAAAUAAAAAAUAAAAAAAAUAUUUUAAAGAUAUAUAUUAUCACUUGAACUACAUUAUAUAUAAUAUCAAUAUUUUAUAACAAAAUCAAUUAUAUGUUAUAUUAGUUUAAAUUUAUAAUAAAAGUGAAAACAAAACUUACAUAAACAUGUAGAUCCAAAUCUAGUGUUUUUUUAAUAAAUAAUAGACGUUGAUGGUUUUAAAUUUAUGGUAAAAUAUCUAUGAACUAAUAAAAAAUAUAUAUAUAUAUAUAUUAAAAUAAUUAUUUUAUGAAAGUACAUAGUUUUUUCUAAAUUCUUACUUUAAGAGAUGUUACAGAAAACAAAAACAAAAAUGCUUAUGAAAAAUGCAUGAAUUUGAAAAUAUAAUUAGUAAUCUCGACGAUCAAAAAUAGAAAAGAUUAUUUUACUUGUCUGAUGAUCUAUCCAAGUGAGAGAAAAAAAGAUUUGUGACUACUCUGAUGACACAAUUCAAUUAUUCUUUUGGAUACAGGAAAUAUUUCUGGAUGGUCUGAAAAUAUGAAUAAAUAUAAAUUUUAUAGAAGUUUUAUAAAACUGAUAUCUUAAUAUUAUCUUAUUCAACUUUACUAAUUCUUUCAAUGGAUUAGUUCAUAACCCACAAUUUUAUUAUUUUAUUUUUGUUAAUUUACACUGAUUAUACCACAUUUACAUUAUUUGGGUUUAUUAAUUUACGGAAUAGUAUUAAUUUACAUUGAUUAUAGUACAUUCACAUUACAGUUAUAGUCAAAUUGGGAAAGAUUAAAAGUGUUUUUAUUCAAUCCGUAAAAAUAUCAAUAAAAUAAUAAAAGUUUUUUUUUUAAUAAAUCAUGAUAAUUUUUAGGUCCUUUUUAAAAGUUGUAACGUUUAGUGCUUCACUAAAAUAGUAUAAAAUUUUCAUAUCGCAACAAACUAUAAAACUUUCCGAUUUUAUUUUUAUACUCGGAAUUUUUAUUUCAAAAUCAGCUUCAUUUAUUGCGAGUGGGCGUGGCAAAAUCUUGUAGGAUUCUCUCUUUAAUUUCGUUGGUUUAUUCUUUCGUAUACAUUGAAUGAACACCAAAGAAGAAAGUUCAAGGGCAGUUAAUGCUUUCAAAUUUCUAACGCCAUUUUACUUCUUGGCCUCUUGCGAACCACAUUACUCUCAUGCUUCUUGAGUUCUUGUAGACCACAGUACUGUCAUUUACCUAUACGUAACCGAUGCAUGCAUAAUAUUUCAUAUUUUUCUAUAUAAUGACACAUUGACAUGUGGUUUUGAGCGUUUUUGAAUUGUAGAACUGCUACAUUUGUCCAUAACCUCGAUAUAUUCCCUUGUAAAAGCUACUUUCAUAUUUAAAACCUCAUAUUAGUUAUCGAAACGUAAAUGUUAGAUGUCAGCUAUCUAGAGUAACCGAUGCAUGGUAUUUCAUAUUUUUCUAAAUGUUGAAGGUUGGAUGAGCAACUGACAUGUGGGCCUGUGGUUACGCUCCAUUUGUACAUAACCUCGACAUCUAUAAGCUGAGAUUUAUGCUUAAGAUUUCAACGUCAUUUUUGGGUCCAAUUGUUAAAUUUUCAAACGUCAUUUUACUUCUUGGCUUCUUGCACAUCAUAGUACUUUGAUUUAUCCUCAGCACAUAGUGUUUAGAUGAUUUGUUAGAGCAGGUUAUGGUUCGGUUUAAUGUGGUAUCAGUUAUGUGUUGGUAGAUAGCGGUAUUUGGGGUAUAAGCCAUUGUAGAUACGAGAUAAGUAUCGAGAAGAUAUGGGUAGGACGAGAUCUAGUAUGUUUAGAUUCUCUUGUAUCACGUAUAUAUAUAAGCGUUACUCUGAUGAAUAACAACACACAACAUUCUCAACAUAUUCUUCCUAGUUUACAUGGUCUCAGAGCGAUAAGAUCCUUUGACAUAAUUUACUACAACUACUACUAUACCGAUGUUGGGUCCUCUGUGGAUGUUAUUCCCACAUUGUCCACGCUUCAGACCUAGAUGUCUGAACGUGAGGGAGGGUAUUGAUGAGAAACAUCUCACAUCAGAAAUAUAUGAAUUAAUCUACUACUAUAUAAAGAGUUAGGGUCAAUCCACUCAUCGCCAAUUGGUUUUAAGUUGGAAGCCCAAGAAACUUAACAUGGUAUCGGUUAUGUGUUGGUAGAUAGCGUUACUUGGGGUAUAAGCCAUUAUAGAUACGAGAUAAGUAUCGAGAAGAUAUGGGUAGAAGGAGAUCUAGUAUGUUUAGAUUCUCUUGUAUCACGUAUAUAUGUAAGCGUUACUCUGAUGAAUAACAAUACACAACAUUCUCAACAUAUUCUUCCUAGUUUACAUGAUUCACCGUAAAAACAUUUUUCUUUUGAGAAAAGACUUUGCAUACACAAAAUAAUCUAGAAGGCAGUUGUUUUUUGGGCUUGUCCCAUUACAUCAAGUUGAUAAUUAAACAUUAGGACGGGUCUGGCCCCAUUUGAACUACAAAUAAACACAAUUACAUAUAGAGAAACUGAAAAGGUGAUUGACCCUGAGUCAGUGAUUGCGAAAGGAAGGAGCUCAUGCUUAGUCAUCGAGCCAAAUUUGAAUCAUCUUAGAGACCGAAGAGAGAGAUGGGUUGCAGAGCAAAAGCUGGAGAUAUGAUUUAUGAUGAGAACAUCUGCUUGCUUCGAGAUGGAAGAGGUGGUGCAGAAUUUUUGGCGGUGAAGCCUACUAUUUCGCUCAAACCAAAGAAGGUAGAUCGUCGCUUGCCAUGCUACCUGAGUUAGAAGUUUAUGAUGUUUACAUUUGGCAUGCAAACUGGUCCAUAAGCCCAAUUCCUUGUUGGUGUCCAGUUUUUUUUUCUCGUCAAAUCUUACCAUAAGUUCUAAGAGAAUGGGCAUUCAAAGUAGAGGACAACUAUUCAGAACUGUUUGCCAAGUGAGAAAAUUAUACCGUGGAAUCCCUCUGGAUAACCAAACCCCCUUAUGCCAAGGUAUUGGAAGUUGAUGGAUUUUGAUUGCAUUGUAGAUCAUCCCAGUUGAGUACAACGAUUUAGGAGUUCCUAAAGGUGACCAUUCGAAGAUGUAUUUCUCCAAAAUAAGAAUGAUGGUGGAGAGGUAGACGUGAAGAGAUAGUUGUGUUUCAGACCAUGGAUGAGGGAGUAGCCAGCUUCCUCGUUGAUAUAGAUCAUGGAGGGUCAUUUUCUGUCGAAUACCAAGGCUUUAAGAUGCAGGGAGGUCAAAAUAGAAUAGAAUUUCAAGUUCUCAGACGGACUCCAGCGGUCUGACCAGAACCUAGUGUUCCUUCUAUUUCGAGGUAUUGUUUUUAUCCAGUUGUAAGCAUAAUCUCGUAAGAUAUUUUUAGUCGAUGAGGAGUGAGUUUGUUUUUUCUUAAUGAUCCACAUGUUGCUUAUGUUACAUGAGAGGAUGUUUUUGAUGAACCAAGCAAUCCAAAUAGAGCAUGCUUUGGAAAAAAGAAUCCAUAUCAACUUGAUUGAGCAAGAUUUAUUCCAAGAUACCAACUCUCUGAUCCCAAGACUUCCUUCUGACUUCGCUAAGGUUGUUGAACCCCACAUGAGAAGACGAAAGUUUUAGAGAUGCUGAUUGAGGGUACAAAGAGCUGUUUGAAGUCAUUCAGAAUCUCAAGGACGUUUUGAACUGAACGGAAUGAUCCAUCAUAAAAUACUAACAAGUUAUCUGCAAAGCAAAGGUACGUGAGUGUGGUCUCUUUACAAGCGUAGUGAUAACCACAUUUUCCUUCUUCAACUGCUUUAUCCAAGAGUAGUGAUAGACAAUUCAUUGCAAUGACAAACAUGUAAGGAAAAAAAAAGGUCUCUCUGCCUGAGUCCUCUUGUACUUUUGGAGAAGCCUUGGACUGUUCCACUUAAUCUUAUCAUAAAACUUGGCGAAGUAAUACAAAAAUGGACCCACUUGAUGAAUUAAGAAGGCAGAUUAAUCCCACGGAGACAAUUGAAGAUAAAGUCCCAAUUGACUGUAUCAAAAGCUUUGACAAUGUCUAUUUUAAUGGAUAAGGUAUAGAAGUAGAUGUUGGACCCAAUUUCGGUCAAUAUGUAAAUGGGCCACGAUCAACUGAAUGGGCCGCGAAGAGUUGAAGCCCACUGCAAGCACUCGAGCUCCAAACGGAGACUUCGAAGACCCGGAGAUCGCGGAACGGCUGCUGAGAUUGCGGAGCAGUUGCGAACAUCAUGAGGGCAGCAUGCUAUAACAAGAAGUCGACGCAUAAAGAAGAGACACGUUGAAAACCCUAGAGAGAGCUACACCCACACUUCGACCUUGUAUUCAUCCAUCUUUAGAUUUUUUCUCUUAAGCGAUCUCGUUGUAACAUUCGAUCUUGUUUUACUCAUUGUAUCCGAUCUUAUUCAUCAAUAACGUCCAUUUUUACCUACCGGAAACUGAUUAUAUCGUUGUAUUCUAAAGAUAUUGUUGCCUACAUCGUUUAUCUUAUCCUGAUUAAACUCCCGAUCAUUAUCAAAUUCUUAGUGUAGAUUUUAGGAUCUACAAUAGAUGCUUGAGGCGUUUUACCACUAUUUUUGAGAUGAGCUUGUAUAGUUUAUUGCAACAUGAGAUCGGUCGGAAGACCCCAAUAGUUGAAGCUCCACUAUGUUUGGAAACCAGUGAUAAAACUUUUUCAUGUUUCUUUUUCCUUCAUAUUAGAUUCAAAACUGAAAUGUUGGAUGUAAUUGUUUUAACGAUAACUAAUGAUAUUUCGUAUUCUAAUUCUAUCCAUAUACUGGGAUGUUUUAAAAAAUAUAUAUAUAUUUUUUGGGCUGUGGUUAUUGAACUCAAAGAAUACAAGGUUUAAGAUCAAAGACUAACUUUCUUUAUUGCUUUAGAAAAUUACUCAAAACUAAAGCUCUCAAACCUUAAUUUCUCAACUCAUAAGUUAUGUCACAACUUUGAUAUCUCCUUAUAUAUAGAGAUAGAUAACUCCUAAUCUCAUUAAGUUUAACUUAUUUAGAUAUCUCCUAAACACGUAUAUUUCUUAAUUCUUUCAUAACUAGGUUAGCUUUGAAUCCAAGCUAACUUCAAGUUUACUUUUAACAUUCUCUUCUUUAAACUUGAAGUCCAUUUUUGACAAGUCUUCAAUACCGACAAGUCCUCUUAUCUCUUUGAACUUCAAUCUCCCAAGUGUAUUUGUCAAGAUGUCAUCUCUCUGUUCACUCCCGGGUAUAUGCUGAACCAUGAUCAAAAAUCAUUCUCCACACUCUCUUAUGAGUGAUAACAUCGAUGUAUGUGUUUGUUUUGUCCGUGAAAUACAUGGUUAUUUGUGAGGGCUAUAGCAGAAUUAUUAUCAAUAUGAAUUGUUACUUUCUCACACGUCCUACUGGUAAUCUCUCCAAGAAGUUUUUGUAGCCAUAUGGCAUGCUUAGCCACCUCAGUUUAUGUCAUAAACUAGGCUUCAUAAGGGGAUAGUGCAACAAUGUCUUACUUUUGAGAAUAUCACAUGAUGGAACUAUCGGAGAAAUAGAAAAUGUGUCGACUUGUACUUCUUCCGUCAUCAACGUUGUGGCUACUGUCUAUAUCAUAUAAGUUUUGCUUUUGCUGCUCGACUAAACACCAAACUGUGUGCAAGAAUUCCUCGUAAGUACCUCAAAAUCUGUUUUAAAACUGUUUUGCGAUUGUUUGGGAGUUUGCAUGUACCUACUUAAAACUUCAACACAAAAGAAUAGGUCCGGUCGUGUCUGUAUCAAAUACCUGAGGCACCCAAUGUUUCUUUUAUACUCUUUUUCGUCUUUGUUUUGUUCUUUGUGUGCUUUAGAAAGUUUCAAAUCCAGUUCCAUGUGUGUAAGUACCGUGUUGCAUUCUUCCAUUUCAGUUUCUGUUAGGCCUUUUUUUAGCAUAUAUCUCUUGUCUCAGUGUAAUCCCUUAUUGUUAUCAUGUGAUUAAGAAAAUACGGAAUAAUCAUGUUAUCAUGUCAACCUUAUGAGGGUCAAACGGUAAACUCUAACCACCCAAAUCCACCUGGGUAAGCUUCUAUCAAAUAAAAUAUAUAAUACGUAGGACUUGAUAAAAUUUUUAAAAGGUUUGUUAAUCACUUUGCGAAAUAGAAAACCACAUCGAACUUACUACAGUUUCAUCGAGUCCGAAGUAGAUAUUUUCGUUAUAUUAAAAAAACAUAACAGUAACAGUAACAACGUAGUGGGUUUCUUUAAAUUAAAUAGAGAGGGUAUUGAGACCACCAAGUUGGAAAGCGAGGAAGUAGGGGGAAUGAUGAAGUCGCAAGCCCAUUCGAUAUAAAUAAUUAAUUUGUCAAUUCUCACCGCUCUUCAUCAUCACAUAUCAUUUUCCUAGAUGGACCUAUCGUAACACUAUCUCUCGUUCAUACCUUUGAUCUCGAAAAUCGUCACUCGAAAUUAACUUAAAAGACGGUAUGUAAUAUCAUAUGGACGUGAUCGACUUAUCAAAUGACAACGAUGUACACUGAUUUAUCUGUUGUAAAAUACUAUAUCAAAUCUAAUUUUAUUUUGUGUAAGGACGAUUCAAGUCCUUUGCUCCACAAUUAUUCCAGUCCCGGGGACCAAGUACUUAUGUACGUGUAUCUUUCGUCAAAGAGUCCCGCACAAUGAUGACUCUGCAUAUGAUGAUAUCGAAAGCCUUUAUAUUCUUAAUCGUUAUGGUUGUGUUUUGAUCUUCAUAAAGAUGCAUAUCUAUAAAAUGAACACUGUGUAUUCUUAAUAAACUGAAAAGUUACAUAUAAAGUUACGAAAAGACGUAAUAUAUCUCUUGAUCAUCUUAAGAAAGAAUUUGCUACAUUUGUAUAAACGACCUCUACAUAAAGUUAAUUAAGCAAUACACAAAUAGAAAUAUAAUAAUCUUAUCAUACAUAAAAAGAACUAUGUGGCUUUAUAAAAAGUGUGCGUAUUACACUAAAACUCACCUAGUUAUUUUUAAAUUAUGAGUUUAGGGUAUGUCUAUUUGAAGGGUCGUGUUAUCACGUGGAAAGGUUCGAUAUGAUCAUAUGCUUCAACUCAAUUGAAUGCGAAAUCCGAAAGGUGAAAGCUACUACAAUGUAAUUAGCUUUGACAUUGAAUUGUCAACUCUCUGAUACUGAUAAUUUGUAAUUUGAGAAUCACCUUCCUUUUAGUUCUCCUUAAUUUUUUAAUAUUCUUAAUUUGUUUAAUUAGUUUAUUCUCAGAGAGUGUUUGCCAAAUGGCGAGCUCACAUAGUCAGAACGUUGAGGUAAGGACAAGAACAUGAUGAGUCGGUUUGCAUGCUUCGUGCUUCCACUUCACUCGCCGUUGUUCUUGUUACUUGUCGUCGUUUGUACUAUCUUUUAAUUAAUGGAAAGUGUUAUUUAUAUUCGUUAAGUACAAUCAGAUAUCCAAAUCAUAUUUCCACUCUCUUUCAUAUGGAUUGGUUACGAGUUCCGACCAUCGCUUAGGUUUUUUCUCCUCAACCUAUCGAUUAAAAAUAAAUAGUCAAAUUAAUUACAUAAAAAGAAGACUUAGUUGACAUUAUAUAUUUAUAUUAUAACCACUAAAUUUAUCUGGUUUCAGUCUGAAACUCAAACUGUAUCAAAUUGAAAUUGCACUAACAAAUUAUAAUAUUUUGAUUUUAUUUAACAUUUUCGUAACUGUGCAAUAUUGUCGUUUCUUUCUGUCUUUGUGCAAUAUUACGAAAAUGUUAAGUCACAGAAAAAAAGACUGACCAAUGUUUGUGACUGUGUGCAUUAUUCAGAAUAUGAGAGAUAUGAAAACAGCCAUUUCGAGAUAUGUUUAAUUCAUACACAACUUAUAUGACUAUACAAAAACAUAUUUAUAUUUUUGAAAAUUUCAAAUAAUAUGCCUUUUGUUUAUCUUUUGGUGAAAUCAUACACUAAUCGCCACAUCAACUGUAUCAUCUAAUUUUUCUGAUAUACAUGCUAUGUCAACUAAAUUUAUUGAUGAGUAUGCCAUGUGCACAAUAUUUUUUUAAACAAAAUAAUCAUUUUGUAACAUUUAUUAUUUUUUAUUAUUUUAAAUCAUAAGACUUAAUCUUAAAUAAGUGAUAUAUUCGUAAAUGUUAUAUAAUAAUUUUACAUCAUAAAUUUAUUAAAUGUAGUGUUCGAGUACUCGUUGGGAUUCAUGUCAAGUUUCUUGAAUUUCGAUUUUAUUUUGUAACACAUCAUAAGAACCAUAUUGGUAUUUUUGUUAGUAUGGAUCAAGAUAUUUUUUGUAACACUGUACAAGACUCAUUCGGGCAUUUUCUUAUAUUUAAGACCGAGUACGGAUCAGAUUAUUUGGUUCGGGUUUGGUUCAGAUUUCAGGUUAUAGAUUUUAUUGAAAGUAACACAACUGCAAAAGUGAUAUUGAAUUUGAAUCAUUACAACACUUAUAUAAUUUUUAUAAGGACGGUAUUGUGAUAGAAUCUAAUAUUUAUAAAUAUAUAUGUUAUAUAAAGUUAAAUUUUUAUGAUUUAAUUAAUUUUUUAAAUAUUACUAAAUAAUAAAAUUUAUAAAAUUUUACAUUUUCUAAAAAGUUAUUUAUAUAAAACAACUAUUUUCUUUUAAAAAGAUUGUAUAAAUGAUAUUUUCGUCAGUAAAAUUAGCUAGCGUAUUAUCCACAUCAGCAAAAUUAGAUGAUGUGUCAGCUGAUGUGGCGACUGAUGUAUGAUUUCGCAAAAAAAAUAAGCAACGGAUAUGUUAUUUGAAAAUUUUGAAAAUACAUGUAUAUUUUUGCACGGUCGUAUAAGCCGAGUAUGAAUUAAAUGAAAUAGCCAAAUAUGAAUUAAAUGAAUUGACCGAUUUCCUUCUAUUUGUUAUAUUUUCGUAAACUUCGUGUUACUCCCAAAAUGGUCAAGCCCGCAGUCCAGUCAACUGUUUUAAACUACGUCUAUUGGGCUUACAAAAGGCCCAUAUUUCUCAAUCCUCUAUUCAUAAAGAAAAUCUAAUAAUAGCUGGUAUCUUUUUGACAGCUGAGUUAUCUAUGCUAAACACUACUUUUGGCCAAAGAAUAGAGUUUCAAACUUCUUUUGCCAAACCUUAUAUGAAUAGUAUUAUGAUUAAUUAGGGGUCAGAGGGUUCUGAAAUCGAAGGAAGCUUAUUUAUAAUUUAAAAGUGUCAUGAGAUAUGACUGUGAAGCCUAACCGUUGAAUGUAUAUAAGAUUUCUAGCUUCGGGAUGCAUAUGUUUUAUAUGCAUACAAACUAAACAUAGUGCUCUACGAAUAGGGCGCGGGACAACCCUAAUUGAGAUUUGGACCAUUGUUGGUUGUUAUACUCAAAAUCGUAUAAUAACAUUGAAUUAACAUACUUUUUUUCUAAAU